ACGAGCCCAUUACGAUUUCGCGUCCAAAGUGUUUCCGUAUCUAUUUUUAUUAGGUUGAAUUCUAUCUCUUUCUGGGGUAUCUCUUUUAGAUUUAUUUUCGUGUGGUGAAAAAUAUGAUUUUGUGUCUGCUGAUUUUUUUUCUUCUAAUUUCGUGACGAUAACCCAGCGUUCUUUGUCCCCAUUUCUUUUUUUUUUUUACAUUUAUGAUUAUUUACAAAAUGAUGAAACGAGAGUGGGAGUAUAAAAAAAGAAAGAAGGAAAAAGAUAUGAAAGUACUGAGAAAAAGAUAUGAAGAACGUGAAGAAAAUGGACGAAGAAAAAAGAAAAGUAAAAAGUAACAAACAAAAACUACUGUACAUCCAAAAAAUUGGAAAAGAUAAGAAACUAAGAUAAAGAUAGAAAAAAAAAAACAUAUCAAACUUAUACGGAAACACUUCGACUAGUGUACCAAGUCGUAGGGAUAAGUGCGUAAAACAUAUUAAGCCUAAAAGCCAAGAAGACAAGGAGCGCCCGUAUCCCUUAAAUCUGACAUGCCGUAAAUCUAACCUUUCUUCUGUCACGCUCGACCAUUCACCUUUGGAAUUCUUGCUAAGUUUCGCACAGGGUCACUCGGCUACCUUCGAUAUGCUCUCGACGUUGCGUUAUCCAGGGCGCGGCGUACCUUCUACCUCGACUCCUCUCCUAAAGAGACUCCUCACCUGCCCGUCCGCAGCCUGCCCUACACUGGGGAGAUCUACUCUCUCCGUCACCCUCUUCACCCUCUCAACUGCAGGCUUAUCUUUCGCCGGGUGAACGCUCUCCGUCGCAAUCUGGUCCACACCAGCCCUCCCUCUACCUCGAAGACACGGGCCAUCAGAUUGGAUUGGUCACCUGCACGUACCGUCUUCCCUUCCGCUGAAGUCCACGCCCGCAUACUCAUGGAAUCCUCCCUAAUCCUUAAGUUGUUGCCUAACUUCAACUUGAAAAGCAGCUUUUCUUCUGCCAACAGACUCCUCGCUUCCCACAUCCUCCGCCUUCUCCCUUAUGUCAGCCAACCUUCGCACAGACCGCCGGAUUCUUUGACUUGAUCUGACUUACCUUUAUUUCCGUUCGCCUGUCUUCACCUGCUCCGUGUUCACCGCGUUGCCUCUCCUUUCUCUCUUUUGUAAAGGGUAAGGUUCUUCCCAUUGCUAGGCCUAUAUAGGUCUAAAACACUAAUCAAGGCGUAUUUGCAGAAGGACGUAGCCACGAUUCCUAACCUAAAAUCAUGGGUUAUGAGUCAGAGGGUUACGAAAUGCGUAAGUCUUAUUGGUAAACUCCGUGUGUCUUGUGUUUUGCAUAGUGGUGUAACUGGGGGCGUUGAAUUAACGUGCGUCAAGGUCAGGGUAGGUAGUAACAGCUUAUUUUCACACUGAGGGAAUAAUGGAUUAAUUGGGUGAAUGAGAAGGAGUAAUUGAGGAAGGAAGUGAGAUGACGGAGAGAAAUAAAAGAGGAGAAGAGAAAGAAUAUCGAGAGAUGAUGUUUCCAACAAGCAAGACAGAUUAAAAAAAGAUAAAACGAAAAAUGAAAAGAAAGAAAAAAAAGGUUACAUAAAUGAAAUAAGACAGGGAGAAAAAAAAUCAGAAGACAAUAAUCAGAAAAAAGAACACAAGCAAACUGAACUAGACAACAUUAACAACUACAAAAGAAGCAGAACAGUUAUACGAACGUAUUUAUAACUGCCUUUACGUACCUGAUUCACAUUUCGCCACGCAUCUUACUAGUGAUAAUCGAAGGUAAUUUUGCAGAGGCAGAGAUUCAUGAUACCUCCUUAGUUCCUCACCCUAUCCCCCUACCCAUUCCCACCUCCCUCUCUAUUCCCACCUCCCUCCCCCCCUCUGUAAUACUCGUGCGGUUCCCCCCUCCUUCCUGCCCCCUCCCGCCCUCCCCCUUCUACCACUGCAGGAGGAACUUUAGUAUUUCCGCGCUUCAUCUGAAAUACGAAAAAGGUGUUGUUAUAUUUCAUCGUUCAAAUUCUGGCCAUAUGCGGGGUUAUUGAAUAAUGAAGUAAUGUUAAUGGUAUUAAGAAAUAUUGUAGGCGGAUAAAAAAAUAAAAUGUUGAAGAUAUAAAGAUUGAGAUUAUUCUAUUUAUACUUUUUUUUUGAAGAAUGAAGGAGAGACAGAAUGUAAGAAUAUCGAUUUAUAUUAACGAGUAAUAGAAAAAUAAGACGUAGAGAGUGACAAAUAAUCGUAAUGAAAGUAAGACUUGUAUGAAAAUAAAAAUAAAAAACAAAAGGCAUUCAGAGGAAAAAACGGAUCGAUAAAACACAUAAACAGAUUGAUAAAAGACAAACCAAGAAUAUGAAUAACUAAAUAAAUAAAGGGAACAGACAAACCGAAAACAUGAAUGAAAGAAAGAAAAAGUAAGAACAAACAGACACAGAGAGCGAGACGCGAAACAAAGAAAGCAUAUUAAGAAGGGUCAUCUCUUAUUCACGCACCGUGUCCCUGUCCACAUAACAGAAUUAACCAGCCUCGCCGGAUCUGCCUUACGACCACCUCUGCCGUUCGGUUGCUGUUCCUUUGGCGGAGACAGAGAUUCUGAGUCGAUGGUAUAAGUAUCGAAGGUAAUUUUGCAAAGGCAGAGGUUCGUGAUUUCGAGUCGGUGGUAUACGAAUCGAUGGUAAUUUUGCAAAG
Long non-coding RNA from Penaeus indicus, 2655 nucleotides. RefSeq lists it as uncharacterized. The record is from RefSeq and is a predicted model, not a curated record. NCBI's taxonomy places the organism in Eukaryota, Metazoa, Arthropoda, Malacostraca, Decapoda, Penaeidae. The transcript is spliced from 3 exons.